Macrosteles quadrilineatus (aster leafhopper) is the source of this 411-nucleotide long non-coding RNA. RefSeq lists it as uncharacterized. The transcript is spliced from 3 exons. The record is from RefSeq and is a predicted model, not a curated record. Lineage: Eukaryota; Metazoa; Arthropoda; Insecta; Hemiptera; Cicadellidae.
UUUGCAGCUUUUGUAAUGACGUCACGGGCGCAGCCGCAGUUUGACAGACGGCAAUGCAGAAGCAUAUCGAUUUUUAACGUCGUCUACAGUUUUAGUGUCCGUCUAUUAGUGUAGUAGUGUUGUUUCAUGCUAAAUUCAGUGAAUGGGAUUUUUUAUUGAAGUAGCGGUGUAAAUUACCUGGUUAUAAGAUGACCAAGGACAGGCUUCAAGCUUUAAAAGCUGCGCAGAGUGAUGAUGAUGACGUCGGUCCUGAUGACGUUGCGGUCAACGUGGAAGGCCGCGACGGCUUCAUGGACGAGUUCUUUGCGGAGGUGGAGGAGAUACGGGAAAUGAUAGACAAGAUACAGGCCAAUGUGGAGGAAGUCAAGAAAAAACACAGUGCCAUCCUGUCCGCCCCACAGACUGAUGAAA